AGGACGAACGCUGGCGGCGUGCUUAACACAUGCAAAUCGAGCGAGGCCCUUUCCUUCGGGAAAGGUGCCCUAGCGGCGAACGGGUGAGUAACACGUGGGCAACCUGCCCCUAGCACUGGGAUAACUCCGGGAAACCGGGGCUAAUACCGGAUACGACCUCUGAGGGCAUCCUCCGGAGGUGGAAAGGAUUCUGGCUAGGGAUGGGCCCGCGGCCUAUCAGCUUGUUGGUGGGGUAACGGCCCACCAAGGCGACGACGGGUA
This 261-nucleotide ribosomal RNA is filed under the name uncultured bacterium. RNAcentral's name for it is "partial small subunit ribosomal RNA". It matches the Rfam family "Bacterial small subunit ribosomal RNA", at positions 26 to 285 of the family's 1533-position model. The record is from RNAcentral.